RNAcentral lists this ribosomal RNA (253 nucleotides) under uncultured bacterium. RNAcentral's name for it is "partial 16S ribosomal RNA". It matches the Rfam family "Bacterial small subunit ribosomal RNA", at positions 524 to 776 of the family's 1533-position model. The record is from RNAcentral.
UACGUAGGGGGCUAGCGUUGUCCGGAAUCACUGGGCGUAAAGCGCACGUAGGCGGAUCUUUAAGUCAGGGGUGAAAUCCCGAGGCUCAACCUCGGAACUGCCUUUGAUACUGGGGAUCUCGAGUCCGGGAGAGGUGAGUGGAACUGCGAGUGUAGAGGUGAAAUUCGUAGAUAUUCGCAAGAACACCAGUGGCGAAGGCGGCUCACUGGCCCGAUACUGACGCUGAGGCACGAAAGCGUGGGGAGCAAACAGG